Molecule: ribosomal RNA, 449 nt
Filed under: uncultured bacterium
Lineage: Bacteria
Description: partial 16S ribosomal RNA
Rfam family: Bacterial small subunit ribosomal RNA
Source: RNAcentral
AACGAACGCUGGCGGCAUGCUUAACACAUGCAAGUCGAACGAGACCUUCGGGUCUAGUGGCGCACGGGUGCGUAACGCGUGGGAAUCUGCCCUUAGGUACGGAAUAACUCAGAGAAAUUUGUGCUAAUACCGUAUGAUGUCGAAAGACCAAAGAUUUAUCGCCUAAGGAUGAGCCCGCGUAAGAUUAGCUUGUUGGUGAGGUAAAAGCUCACCAAGGCGACGAUCUUUAGCUGGUCUGAGAGGAUGAUCAGCCACACUGGGGCUGAGACACGGCCCAGACUCCUACGGGAGGCAGCAGUGGGGAAUAUUGGACAAUGGGCGAAAGCCUGAUCCAGCAAUGCCGCGUGAGUGAUGAAGGCCUUAGGGUUGUAAAGCUCUUUUACCAGGGAUGAUAAUGACAGUACCUGGAGAAUAAGCUCCGGCUAACUCCGUGCCAGCAGCCGCAGUAA